RNAcentral lists this unclassified non-coding RNA (352 nucleotides) under soil metagenome. RNAcentral describes it as "partial contains 5.8S ribosomal RNA, internal transcribed spacer 2, and large subunit ribosomal RNA". The stretch from base 1 to 120 matches the Rfam family "5.8S ribosomal RNA", at positions 35 to 154 of the family's 154-position model. The record is from RNAcentral.
GAUGAAGAACGCAGCGAAAUGCGAUAAGUAAUGUGAAUUGCAGAAUUCAGUGAAUCAUCGAAUCUUUGAACGCGCAUUGCGCCGGCCAGUACUCUGGCGGGCAUGCCUGUUCGAGCGUCAUUACAACCCUCAGGCCCCCGGGCCUGGCGUUGGGGAUCGGCGGAGCCCCCCGUGGGCACACGCCGUCCCCCAAAUGCAGUGGCGGUCCCGCCGCAGCUUCCAUCGCGUAGUAGCUAACACCUCGCGCCUGGAGAGCGGCGCGGCCACGCCGUAAAACACCCAACUCUUCUGAAGUUGACCUCGAAUCAGGUAGGAAUACCCGCUGAACUUAAGCAUAUCAAUAAGCGGAGGA